Coffea arabica (coffee) is the source of this 1871-nucleotide non-coding RNA. The record is from RefSeq and is a predicted model, not a curated record. NCBI's taxonomy places the organism in Eukaryota, Viridiplantae, Streptophyta, Magnoliopsida, Gentianales, Rubiaceae.
AAAGGCUCCUCCUCUGAAUUUCCAGUGCUACAAUUUCCAAAUGAAGCAGAACACCUAGAUGGAGGGUAAAUCCCGGACCUAUAUCCACGAAUGGCUACAACAUUGGGCUCAUUGAAGGCAUAGUUCUAUACAAUCUUGAAGCUAAUACAGCCUACAGUAGAAAUAAGAGUUGCUGCAGCUUACUGUACUUUGGGACUUAGCCAAGCUCCAUAUCUCUCUUCAAGCUCUUGAGGGAUGUCAUAAUGAGUCAAUGAUGCAAAGGGAGAAAUUCCUGGAAAUUCAUAUACAUUAUUCUUUCCCCCCUGUUACUAGCACUAUUAUCAUGGCUUCAAGUAGCUGACGUAGAGUAGAAGUAACCUUUAUCUUGGAGUGCAUCAAUAAGCUUGUUGUAGUGCUUAAUUCCAGCCAUAUUCACAUUUCCAAAUCUCCCUUCUGAUCCACAAUGAAUAAAUAGCAGUCUUGUCACAGAAAAAAAAAAUAACAAUAACAAUAAUAAUAAGAUGAAAUUGAAGGAAAAGCAGGAGUUUCUUGAAGUGCAAAUCAGUUUCUCAUCCAAUUGCAAAAUAGAGAGAGAGAAGAGAGAGAGAGAGAGAGAGCUACCAUUUAAACUAAGACUUACUGGGAAGUACUCUAGCCCAUGAUAUAGAGAAGCGAUAGCUAUUCACACCGAGAUCUUCCAUCAGAUCAAGAUCCUCCUGUAUUUGUUGUCAGGACAUUGAAUUAUUAUCUGAUUCAUUUCUUCUUUUCAUAUUUCUCUUUUGCAAUGUUCAGCCCGUUAUACAGAUUAUGAGCCAUUUAGACUACAUUUAGUUUUACUACUGUAAAACAUCAUUCUGCUGAUGUCCUACAGGGAUCAAAAUAGCAAUCUAGUCUGGUAAUAUUACUGAAACAGGCAAAAUAGCAAUUGCCCGUUUUGCUCUUGCUUAAGAAAAAAGAAAAAAAGACUGGCAGUCUGGUGUCUUUCUUUCAUGCAAUCCUACACAAUCCUGAUGAUCUAAAAACUUAGGCUGUUGUAUAGAAGUUAUUUCUCACUGACAUAGUUACUGUUGUUAGUUUAAUCAUCCAUGAAACAGGUAAGAAGGCGUAGUUUGGUUACUAGGAGAUUUGAGAAUGUUUUUGCCGCAAAAAGGUUAGAGUGCACAAAACACUUUUGGCGGUACCAGACUAUUCUGCAAUUACCAUGAGCUUUAACUCUUGCUUUCAACCAAUAAUCUAUUGAUUUCUUGAGGCAACUAUUCCUUCUAUAUUCACUUGAAAGAGAUGGCUAUUUUGCGACAGCAUCGGCAUGAUGCUACUUCUGUAUCCAGUGGCUGAUGCUUGGACAGAGAAACAAAUUUCAGCCACCAGUGAAAAGAAUGUCCAGGUAGCAUCUACUAUUUUCUUAUCAGAAUGAUGCAGUGAAACACCAGGACAUCAUGUAUUUACCUGAAUACUCAAAAUGUGGAGUAUCACUGUUAGAAACCAAAAGACCAAGCUGCUUCUUGUAACCAAAUCAUCCCAACCACAAUGACUAUUUAAGCACAGCAUAACUAAGUUUAGCUUAAAGACAAACGACAAUGAUUAUUAUCAGAUUUCAAAACACUCAAGAGACUACAUAUUCCGAUACACUGCAACAGAAAAGUUGCAGUGGGAUCUACUCUAUAUGUCAAAUGGUAUGAAGACAUACAGCUUAUAUUUGCAUGGGAUCUACUCUCUAUGUCAAAUGGUAAGUUCCAUUAGAAAAACAAUCAUGAAAUUAGUCCUUUUUUUUUUUAUUACUUUACUUCAAUUGCAAGACAUCAACUGAAAUUUUGGUUCUCCAACUAUAAAUUGUUUUAGCUGUGAUAUUAACACAGGCUAGAAUUGCAUCAAGACAUAGUUUGUAGCUUACC